UUCUUUUGUAACUCUUCAUGUUCAUCGCUGUUUCAACGUGCAGAGCUGGACAAAGAUCGGCUCCAGGCGUGUAGUCAGCGUUGAUGGGCUCUGGAGAAGCCGUGUAUUCAGAUGUAUAGUUCUGGCUUUGCUGGCUAUCUUGAUUGAUGUAAUCUGCAGGGCGAUGUUCGCUCUUAGGCGGUUUCCGACGACUCGAGAUACCGGUGAUCAUCGUCCUGGAAGCGUUUAUUCUUACGCUAAAGCGUCGAUCGUUAUCUUAGCCGCGUCCGGGAAUUCUUUGGAGUCUGAAUAGACAUCUGCUCUGGGGCCGUGUGUGGUCAGAGACACGUUUCGGAUUUUACAAUCUUUAUAACAUACAUUCUUUAAUAGCAUGAGUUAUUUCUAACAUAUAUUACAUCUGUAUCUGUAUCUGUAUCUGUAUCUGUAAUCUCCAUGAUAAAGUCCUCCCGAAGGCCCGUGCCCUUGGCAGCAGCUCUCCCGCCGAUGCCCGAAGCCGCGGGCUGCAUCCUCACCGCUCCCGACAUCACCGCUACAGCCGCUCCCUGUACCCGCCCCGGAACGCGGCACUUCCCGCAGCCUCCCCGGCGCGCAGGGAGUUAACCGGGCCCGGGGCGGGGCGGUGCCGCCGCUGGCGGGAUGUGGUUCGGCCGGGAGCCCCGCAGCCCGCCCGGGAACAGCAAGCCGCUCUCCUCGUUUCCCAGAGGCGGAUCCCGCUGCCCCGGUAUAAGACAUACAUGGCUCCUGGUUCCUCAAAUAAGAAGAAAACUGAUGAUGGACAGGCUUCAAAGUAAGAUUGACAAAUGAAUUAUUUUGUCCAAGUUUACACUUAAAUUUCCUCCCCAAACUCAUUACACACUCAUUUAGUUUAAGAUAAAUUUUA
RNAcentral lists this long non-coding RNA (880 nucleotides) under Camarhynchus parvulus. RNAcentral describes it as "lncRNA (ENSCPVG00000005816.2)". Lineage: Eukaryota; Metazoa; Chordata; Aves; Passeriformes; Thraupidae. The record is from RNAcentral.